RNAcentral lists this unclassified non-coding RNA (206 nucleotides) under Hevea brasiliensis (rubber tree). The record is from RNAcentral. Lineage: Eukaryota; Viridiplantae; Streptophyta; Magnoliopsida; Malpighiales; Euphorbiaceae.
AGAAUGGAGUCCAAAAUGAGAAAAAUUCGUGUCAUUUACCGUGAUCCAUACGCGACUGAUUCUGAUUCAAGUGAUGAUGAAUCAGAGAUAAAUGUUGAGAGAUCGUUUAAAUCCAAACGAUUCGUGUCCGAGAUCAAUUUUCCAUUCGUUGUUUUUCCUCAGUCAAAAACCCUCGAGCCUGAGAGUUCCUGUCAAGACAGUAACAA